CUACAGUUAGCUCAGUUGAUAGAGCAAAGGACUGUAGUUAUUACCAAAAUCAGUAUUCCUUGGGACACCUGUUCGACCCCGGUGCGGUAAA
Molecule: non-coding RNA, 91 nt
Organism: Paramuricea clavata
Lineage: Eukaryota; Metazoa; Cnidaria; Anthozoa; Malacalcyonacea; Plexauridae
Source: the annotation of a GenBank genome assembly